Long non-coding RNA from Piliocolobus tephrosceles (Ugandan red Colobus), 1273 nucleotides. RefSeq lists it as uncharacterized. NCBI's taxonomy places the organism in Eukaryota, Metazoa, Chordata, Mammalia, Primates, Cercopithecidae. The transcript has 3 exons. The record is from RefSeq and is a predicted model, not a curated record.
CAGCUUUGUCUUGAGGUUUGGAGAAUGAACACUUCUAUGACUACCUGUCAUAGCUCACUAGGAAACCCUAUCGAACCAUGGAAGGGUUAUUGGUUAAAUACAUUGUAUAAAGGAACAUUUUGCUAGUUGCUGUUGACCAAAAAGGCUGUUUUUUUUUUAAAUAUAGUCUGUAAUUAUUUUUGUUGAAAGAUAUUUGGAAGAUGGUUUUUCUCAAUCUAUAGGAGAUACAGUUUGUAGCCACCUGGGAUCUCUUAUAAAAAGAUACUUUUUCAUAGUAUACUUUUUAUAACAUACAUAAAAUUUCAUAAUAUACUUUUGAUAAUAUAUAUAAAAUUUGAUACAAAAGUUUAUCAAAUUUAUUGAAUUUACUUUAGUGCAUUUUUAUUAGUCAAGAUUCUUUGGAAGACAUGGAAAACUAAUUCAAAAAAUCUUGAGCAAAAAAAAGUUUGUUGGCUCGUAACUAAUAUUCAGGACUGGUCUCCAGAACUUGGUUGCCAGGUGUGUGUUUCCAGGUUAUCUGUUAGCUUGUCUGUGUCUCUGUGAUAGUUUUACUGUUUUAGAGUGGAAAGUCUUUCUCCAUGGGGUGCUCUGACUUGCAGAAGAAUGCCUUUGGUCUAGUGCCAGCAUAUAUAAAAUCCUGUGGGUGGGAUAGAGUAGGUGUAGUUGUGUGCUGACUGGCAGUCUCACAAAACCACAUGGAAUAGGGAAGGAACAGUUUCCCAAAGGAAGGGUUUGCUCUUACUUCAGAGGAAGGGAUGCUGGGAGUCAAAAACAAUAGAUGUUCGUUAUAGCAAUGAGAGUGAUAAAGAAGAGAAGACAGAAAGGCAUAAAGUAUUCUUUAAGGGAAUAGAACAUGACUUAAUUUGAUUUUCCUAAUCAUUGAUUCUUACAGAGCAUGCAAGCAGCGAGAUGUCCUACAGAUGAAUUAUCUUUAACCAAUUGUGCAGUUGUGAAUGAAAAGGAUUUCCAGUCUGGCCAGCAUGUGAUUGUGAGGACCUCUCCCAAUCACAGGUACACAUUUACAUUGAAGACACAUCCGUCAGUGGUUCCAGGGAGCAUUGCAUUCAGUUUACCUCAGAGAAAAUGGGCUGGGCUUUCUAUUGGGCAAGAAAUAGAAGGUAGGUAUAUUUUUUAGCCACCUGAUAAGGAUUUUUUAUGUGAUUUUCUCACAGAUAUUGAGAGCUGUACAAUUUUCUAUUACUAGUGGUCAGACCUUAAGCAUUCAUUGUAUCAGAAUACUGGUUAGAUCUAUGAGAGUGGAAGUAAAUAGUUA